Molecule: small nucleolar RNA, 63 nt
Organism: Camelus dromedarius (Arabian camel)
Lineage: Eukaryota; Metazoa; Chordata; Mammalia; Artiodactyla; Camelidae
Source: Ensembl
CCUGUGUGAUGAUAAAGCAAAUACUGACUAAACAUGAAAGUUUUAAUUAGCUCUAUCUGAUAU